Molecule: ribosomal RNA, 399 nt
Filed under: uncultured Microbacterium sp.
Lineage: Bacteria; Bacillati; Actinomycetota; Actinomycetes; Micrococcales; Microbacteriaceae
Description: bacterial SSU rRNA
Rfam family: Bacterial small subunit ribosomal RNA
Source: RNAcentral
CAAGGCUUGACAUAUACCGGAAACGGCCAGAGAUGGUCGCCCCGCAAGGUCGGUAUACAGGUGGUGCAUGGUUGUCGUCAGCUCGUGUCGUGAGAUGUUGGGUUAAGUCCCGCAACGAGCGCAACCCUCGUUCUAUGUUGCCAGCACGUAAUGGUGGGAACUCAUGGGAUACUGCCGGGGUCAACUCGGAGGAAGGUGGGGAUGACGUCAAAUCAUCAUGCCCCUUAUGUCUUGGGCUUCACGCAUGCUACAAUGGCCGGUACAAAGGGCUGCGAUACCGUAAGGUGGAGCGAAUCCCAAAAAGCCGGUCCCAGUUCGGAUUGAGGUCUGCAACUCGACCUCAUGAAGUCGGAGUCGCUAGUAAUCGCAGAUCAGCAACGCUGCGGUGAAUACGUUCCC